UACGGGAGGCAGCAGUGGGGAAUAUUGCACAAUGGGCGCAAGCCUGAUGCAGCCAUGCCGCGUGUAUGAAAAAGGCCUUCGGGUUGUAAAGUACUUUCAGUCGUGAGGAAGGUGUUAAGGUUAAUAACCUUAGCAAUUGACGUUAGCGACAGAAGAAGCACCGGCUAACUCCGUGCCAGCAGCCGCGGUAAUACGGAGGGUGCGAGCGUUAAUCGGAAUUACUGGGCGUAAAGGGCACGCAGGCGGUUAAUUAAGUUGGAUGUGAAAUCCCCGGGCUUAACCUGGGAAUGGCAUUCAAGACUGGUUAGCUAGAGUCUUGUAGAGGGGGUAGAAUUCCAUGUGUAGCGGUGAAAUGCGUAGAGAUGUGGAGGAAUACCGGUGGCGAAGGCGGCCCCUGGACAAAGACUGACGCUCAUGUGCGAAAGCGUGGGGAGCAAACAGGGAUUUAGAUACC
RNAcentral lists this ribosomal RNA (454 nucleotides) under uncultured bacterium. Its description in RNAcentral is "bacterial SSU rRNA". It matches the Rfam family "Bacterial small subunit ribosomal RNA", at positions 340 to 786 of the family's 1533-position model. The record is from RNAcentral.